Molecule: ribosomal RNA, 468 nt
Filed under: uncultured bacterium
Lineage: Bacteria
Description: partial 16S ribosomal RNA
Rfam family: Bacterial small subunit ribosomal RNA
Source: RNAcentral
GACGAACGCUGGCGGCGUGCUUAACACAUGCAAGUCGAACGGAAAGGCCCUGCUUUUGUGGGGUGCUCGAGUGGCGAACGGGUGAGUAACACGUGAGUAACCUGCCCUUGACUUUGGGAUAACUUCAGGAAACUGGGGCUAAUACCGGAUAGGAGCUCCUGCUGCAUGGUGGGGGUUGGAAAGUUUCGGCGGUUGGGGAUGGACUCGCGGCUUAUCAGCUUGUUGGUGGGGUAGUGGCUUACCAAGGCUUUGACGGGUAGCCGGCCUGAGAGGGUGACCGGCCACAUUGGGACUGAGAUACGGCCCAGACUGCUAAGGGAGGCAGCAGUGGGGAAUAUUGCACAAUGGGCGGAAGCCUGAUGCAGCAACGCCGCGUGCGGGAUGACGGCCUUCGGGUUGUAAACCGCUUUCGCCUGUGACGAAGCGUGAGUGACGGUAAUGGGUAAAGAAGCACCGGCUAACUACGUG